AUUGAACGCUGGCGGCAGGCCUAACACAUGCAAGUCGAGCGAGCGGCGGACGGGUGAGUAAUGUCUGGGAAACUGCCUGAUGGAGGGGGAUAACUACUGGAAACGGUAGCUAAUACCGCAUACCAUCAGAUGUGCCCAGAUGGGAUUAGCUAGUAGGUGGGGUAACGGCUCACCUCAGCACCGCGGCCUAGAUGGGCUGUGAGGAUGACCAGCCAACCUGGGACUGCGACACGGUCCAGCGUCCUACGGGAGGCAGCAGGGGGGAAUAUUGCACAAUGGGCGCAAGGCUGAUGCAGCCAUGCCGCGUGUGUGAAGAAGGCCUUCGGGUUGUAAAGCACUUUCAGCGGGGAGGCGUUACCCGCAGAAGAAGCACCGGCUAACUCCGUGCCAGCAGCCGCGGUAAUAC
Molecule: ribosomal RNA, 406 nt
Filed under: uncultured bacterium
Lineage: Bacteria
Description: partial 16S ribosomal RNA
Rfam family: Bacterial small subunit ribosomal RNA
Source: RNAcentral